UAGGAGGACCUGGGUUCGCAUUCCAGGUCUGGCAUCUCCUGAAAAGUUUUUUCAGAGUUCUGAACCUCGCCUGGCGAUCCCCACCCUUCAUCAUCUGGCCCCCCUUCAUAGGUAUGGGUACAGCCCAUGGUUGGAACCGUCCCCAUCCCUUAGUAAUCUCCCUAAUUAGAAAGGGGUAUAAAAAUGCAAAAAAAAAAAACUAUCCAUCAGGCAUUGACAAUAAUCUUAUUUCAUUUUAUAUUUGUACAGUUUCUUAUGAAGUUUGUUGCCAUGCAAGUUUUUUAGAUUUCAUAACAUUAUUUACUAAAAAUUGUCAUAUGAUAUAGUCGAUUCUGGUUAGUCUGAUCACAUUGGAACCAGGUAAUUUUGAUCAAAUA
Molecule: long non-coding RNA, 377 nt
Filed under: Androctonus crassicauda
Lineage: Eukaryota; Metazoa; Arthropoda; Arachnida; Scorpiones; Buthidae
Source: RNAcentral